RNAcentral lists this ribosomal RNA (378 nucleotides) under uncultured eukaryote. RNAcentral's name for it is "partial 18S ribosomal RNA". It matches the Rfam family "Eukaryotic small subunit ribosomal RNA", at positions 592 to 976 of the family's 1831-position model. The record is from RNAcentral.
CAAUAGCGUAUAUUUAAGUUGUUGCAGUUAAAAAGCUCGUAGUUGGAUUUCGGGUUGGCUUCAGCGGUCUCGCUUUGCGUUUGUACUGCUGCAGCCUACCUUCUUGUCGGGGACGGGCCUUCGGGCUUAAUUGCUUGGGGCCCGGAGUCGACGAUGUUACUUUGAGUAAAUUAGAGUGUUCAAAGCAAGCCUACGCUCUGAAUAUAAUACCAUGGGAUAACACGACAGGACUCUGGCCUAUCGUGUUGGUCUGUAGGACCAGAGUAAUGAUUAAGAGGGACAGUCGGGGGCAUUCGUAUUCCGUUGUCAGAGGUGAAAUUCUUGGAUUUACGGAAGACGAACAUCUGCGAAAGCAUUUGCCAAGGAUGUUUUCAUUGA